AAAGGACCGAUAUUUUAAGUAACGCUUUUAGCUUAAAUCCACAUAACAGACACUUCGUGUCGACUUUGUGCGCAUUUUCGCUAUUAUGUGUUCUUUUAAUUAAAAUGAUUCUUUUUAAAUCUSUAAUAUUUGCUUCGGCAUUUUUGGGGAUUUGUUACUUUGAGUAAAUUAGAGUGUUCAAAGCAAACAGAUAUAGCAUUUGUGCGUAUGAAUACUACAGCAUGGAAUAACAAAAUUGAACARGUCAAAAUUUUUGGUUCUUUUUUCUUAAUUUUGGGCUUAGUUACGAUUAAUAGGAGUAGCUUGGGGGCAUUUGUAUUCAGAUGUCAGAGGUGAAAUUCUUAGAUUUUCUGGAGNCAAACAWCUGCGAAAGCAUUUGCCUAAAAUACUUCCAUUAAUCAAGAAYGAAAGUUAAGGGAGUGAAGACGAUCAGAUACCGUCGUAAUCUUAACCAUAAACUAUGCCYAMUAGGCUUUGGAUGAAAGAUUUUAAAAUAAGGGUUUUCCUUUCCCUUCGGGGUUAGGACUCUUAGAUUGCUUCCUUCAGUGCCUUAUGAGAAAUCAAAGUCUUUGGGUUCUGGGGCGAGUAUUCGCGCAAGCGAGAAAGUUAAAAGAAUUGACGGAAGGGCACCACCAGGCGUGGAGCUUGCGGCUUAAUUUGACUCAACACGGGAAAACUCACUAGUUUAAGACAAGAGUAGGAUUGACAGAUUAAUAGCUCKUUCKUGAUUUCUUGGAUGGUGAUGCAUGGCCGUUUUUAGUUCGUGAAUAUGAUUUGUCUGGUUAAUUCCGAUAACGARCGAGAUCUUAACCUGCUAAUUAGCGGCAAAUMCGAUAUAUUCUUCUGUGGAAYUGAAUAUAGUGGAUUUGYUAAAUUUUGAAGAAAAUAUUGGAAUUACUAACCGUUUUUCCUUUCCCUUUUCUACUUAAUUUACUUAUCCWACUAUUUCUUUUUCGCAUUUGAAUGUAUUUGCUUGAUUGUAAAGCUUCUUAGAGGAA
Molecule: ribosomal RNA, 998 nt
Filed under: Plasmodium coatneyi
Lineage: Eukaryota; Apicomplexa; Aconoidasida; Haemosporida; Plasmodiidae
Description: SSU rRNA
Rfam family: Eukaryotic small subunit ribosomal RNA
Source: RNAcentral